This 22-nucleotide ribosomal RNA is filed under the name Lagotis brevituba. RNAcentral's name for it is "partial 26S ribosomal RNA". The record is from RNAcentral. Lineage: Eukaryota; Viridiplantae; Streptophyta; Magnoliopsida; Lamiales; Plantaginaceae.
CGACCGCGACCCCAGGUCAGGC